GAUGAAGAACGUAGCGAAAUGCGAUACUUGGUGUGAAUUGCAGAAUCCCGUGAACCAUCGAGUCUUUGAACGCAAGUUGCGCCCGAAGCCAUUAGGCCGAGGGCACGCCUGCCUGGGCGUCACACGUCGUUGCCCCCCCAUCUACUCCUUCGGGAUUGCGGGGGGCGGAUGAUGGCCUCCCGUGCGCCUCGUCGCGCGGUUGGCAUAAAUACCAAGUCCUCGGCGACGCACGCCACGACAAUCGGUGGUUGCGAAACCUCGGUUGCCCGUCGUGUGCGGUCGUCGCGCAUCGAGGGCUCGAAAAAAUUGCCGGGCUCCGGCUCGGCUUUCAACGCGACCCCAGGUCAGGCGGGGUUACCCGCUGAAUUUAAGCAUAUCAAUCAGCGGAGGA
Molecule: unclassified non-coding RNA, 391 nt
Filed under: soil metagenome
Description: partial contains 5.8S ribosomal RNA, internal transcribed spacer 2, and large subunit ribosomal RNA
Rfam family: 5.8S ribosomal RNA (bases 1-122)
Source: RNAcentral